RNAcentral lists this ribosomal RNA (690 nucleotides) under uncultured Candidatus Tremblayella sp. RNAcentral describes it as "bacterial SSU rRNA". It matches the Rfam family "Bacterial small subunit ribosomal RNA", at positions 674 to 1359 of the family's 1533-position model. Lineage: Bacteria; Pseudomonadati; Pseudomonadota; Betaproteobacteria. The record is from RNAcentral.
AGUAGCGGUGAAAUGCGUAGAUAUCUGGAGGAAUACCAAAGGCGAAGGCAGUCCCCUGGUCCGAUACUGACACUGAGGUACGAAAGCGUGGGGAGCAAACAGGAUUAGAUACCCUGGUAGUCCACGCCCUAAACGAUGUCGAUUAGCCAUUGGAAGGACCCCUUUUCCUUUCAGUGACGUAGCUAACGCGUUAAAUCGACCGCCUGGGAAGUACGACCGCAAGGUUAAAACUCAAAGGAAUUGACGGGGACCUGAACAAGCGGUGAAUGAUGUGGAUUAAUUCGAUGCUACGCAAAGAACCUUACCUACCUUUGACAUGGCCAAAGUUCUACCGAGAGGCGGAAGUACCCGUAAGAGGAUUGGCGCACAGGUGCUGCAUGGUUGUCGUCAGUUCGUGUCGUGAGAUGUUGGGUUCAGUCCCGCAACGAACGCAACCCUUAUCUUUAAUUGCUCCUAUUUUAACAGGCACUUUAAAGAAACUGCCAAUGAUAAGUUGGAGGAAGGUGGGGAUCACGUCAAGUCCGCAUGGCCUUUAUAGGUAGGGCUUCACACGUCAUACAAUGGUUAGAACAAAGAGCUGCAAAUUCGUAAGAAGGAGCCAAUCUCACAAACCUAACCUCAGUUCGAAUUGCGGUCUGCAACUCGAGCGCAUGAAGCCGGAAUCGCUAGUAAUCGUGGAUCAGAAUGCCA